CUACUAUCUCCCCUUUCUCUCCAGUUUACCUUUACUUCAAAGAUGCCAAGCACGUGGCUGCUUCAGGUCUUUCACAUUUGGUGUUUCCUGCUUCAAAUACUUGUAUUUCAGGUUAUAGACCGCUCCUGGCUUUCUUUCAAUACAGUGUUUGCUCCUUCGGUCCAUCCCAUGUAAGUGGGUCCAUCCAUGUUGCACACAUUACCUGAAUUUUUAAUUCCACUGGAAGAUUUACCACAAAACCUGUAAAGUUCAUCCUUUAUGGCCUCUCACUUGCAAUUUGCAUGGGCUCCUUUGAAGGCCCUGGGGAGGACCUUACUAUUGAAGGAUAUAUAUAUAUUUUUAAGUAAGAAUAUGACUUUCAGAAAUUAAAGAAGACACAGAUAAAUGGAAGAC
RNAcentral lists this long non-coding RNA (393 nucleotides) under Mustela putorius furo (domestic ferret). RNAcentral's name for it is "lncRNA (ENSMPUG00000029760.1)". The record is from RNAcentral. Lineage: Eukaryota; Metazoa; Chordata; Mammalia; Carnivora; Mustelidae.